This 490-nucleotide ribosomal RNA is filed under the name uncultured bacterium. Its description in RNAcentral is "partial 16S ribosomal RNA". It matches the Rfam family "Bacterial small subunit ribosomal RNA", at positions 30 to 507 of the family's 1533-position model. The record is from RNAcentral.
AUUGAACGCUGGCGGCAGGCCUAACGCAUGCCAGUCGAACGGUAACAGGAAGCAGCUUGCUGCUUUGCUGACGAGUGGCGGACGGGUGAGUAAUGUCUGGGAAACUGCCUGAUGGAGGGGGAUAACUACUGGAAACGGUAGCUAAUACCGCAUAACGUCGCAAGACCAAAGAGGGGGACCUUCGGGCCUCUUGCCAUCGGAUGUGCCCAGAUGGGAUUAGCUAGUAGGUGGGGUAACGGCUCACCUAGGCGACGAUCCCUAGCUGGUCUGAGAGGAUGACCAGCCACACUGGAACUGAGACACGGUCCAGACUCCUACGGGAGGCAGCAGUGGGGAAUAUUGCACAAUGGGCGCAAGCCUGAUGCAGCCAUGCCGCGUGUAUGAAGAAGGCCUUCGGGUUGUAAAGUACUUUCAGCGGGGAGGAAGGGAGUAAAGUUAAUACCUUUGCUCAUUGACGUUACCCGCAGAAGAAGCACCGGCUAACUCCGUG